CCGGAGCCAUACACUCACCUGGUUGAAGCCAUAAAGAGUUCAAUAUUUCAAGUGAAAAUCUGCCUGUUCGAAAAGAAAAUAUUCACAAAUGAGCAGUGUAUUAGAAGACAACUGAAUUGCUUCUAAGAAUGGGUCUCACUCUGCCAUCACCCAGGCUGGAGUGUGGUGGCACCAUCAUGGCUCACUGCAGCCUUGAACUCCUGAGCUCAAGUCAUCCUCCCACCUCAGCCUUCCGAGUAGCUGGAACUGCAGGUGUGAGCCACCAUGCCUGGCUGAUUUGUCUUUUUAAAUUUUUUAUAGAGACCGAGUCUCAACUAUAUUGUCCAGGCUGGAAAAGAACUUCUUUCCCUCCAAGUGAUAACCUUUUCCAGACAAGUCAGCUUAAAAACUGACCCAAAGGCCCUGAAGUACACAGUUUUCUUGGAGAAAGAAAAAAAUAAGUGAAAAGGACUUGCUGACUUGCUAAUUCAUUUUGGGGCCUGUGGGUAACAUCAGAAUGGCAAAGCACUUGGGGCUUUUUUCUAAUUUGUAUUUUUUUAAUCUUCUGAGAAAUGACUUUUAUAUGCCAAGAUUCAUUCCAUGAUUAGUUUUUAUGACCAAGUUAUGAACGCUUUUGAAUAUGGGGACCUAGAAUAGAAAUGCUAACCUACCUGCAAGGAGAGCUCUGUGAUUGGCAUCCCCAUCAUGCUGUAACUGACACAAAAUAAACUUAGGGUAAUUGCCGCAUAGUGUAACUUUAAUGUGUGAGCAUACUGUAACAUCUGACAAGCUUCUUGAUCUAGAUCAGCAAUGUGUAACCCAUUCAUUGUUGUCACUCUCAACAAGGCCUUAUGGUCAAACAUCAUCACUCUCACUAAAGAGAUAGUUUACUGAAAUAUACUGAGAUUUUGAAACUGGAGUCAAGAGGUAGCACACUGUUUUAUGUUGAUCCAUUUAAUGGUCCUUGACAGCCAAUAAAAAGACACUGGAA
RNAcentral lists this long non-coding RNA (970 nucleotides) under Homo sapiens (human). RNAcentral's name for it is "non-protein coding LINC01116:8". The record is from RNAcentral. Lineage: Eukaryota; Metazoa; Chordata; Mammalia; Primates; Hominidae.